GAGUUUGAUCCUGGUUCAGAUUGAACGCUGGCGGCAGGCCUAACACAUGCAAGUCGAGCGGAAACGAGUUAACUGAACCUUCGGGGAACGUUAACGGCGUCGAGCGGCGGACGGGUGAGUAAUGCCUGGGAAAUUGCCCUGAUGUGGGGGAUAACCAUUGGAAACGAUGGCUAAUACCGCAUAAUAGCUUCGGCUCAAAGAGGGGGACCUUCGGGCCUCUCGCGUCAGGAUAUGCCCAGGUGGGAUUAGCUAGUUGGUGAGGUAAUGGCUCACCAAGGCGACGAUCCCUAGCUGGUCUGAGAGGAUGAUCAGCCACACUGGAACUGAGACACGGUCCAGACUCCUACGGGAGGCAGCAGUGGGGAAUAUUGCACAAUGGGCGCAAGCCUGAUGCAGCCAUGCCGCGUGUAUGAAGAAGGCCUUCGGGUUGUAAAGUACUUUCAGCAGUGAGGAAGGUGGAUAUGUUAAUAGCAUAUUCAUUUGACGUUAGCUGCAGAAGAAGCACCGGCUAACUCCGUGCCAGCAGCCGCGGUAAUACGGAGGGUGCGAGCGUUAAUCGGAAUUACUGGGCGUAAAGCGCAUGCAGGUGGUUUGUUAAGUCAGAUGUGAAAGCCCGGGGCUCAACCUCGGAAUUGCAUUUGAAACUGGCAAACUAGAGUACUGUAGAGGGGGGUAGAAUUUCAGGUGUAGCGGUGAAAUGCGUAGAGAUCUGAAGGAAUACCGGUGGCGAAGGCGGCCCCCCUGGACAGAUACUGACACUCAGAUGCGAAAGCGUGGGGGAGCAAACAGGAUUAGAUANCCNUGGUAGUCCACGCCCGUAAACGAUGUCUACUUGGGAGGUUGGUGGCCCUUNAACUCCGUGGCNUNUCNGUAGCNUAACGCGGCUAAAGUAGACCUGCCUGGGUGGAGU
This 910-nucleotide ribosomal RNA is filed under the name uncultured bacterium. RNAcentral's name for it is "bacterial SSU rRNA". It matches the Rfam family "Bacterial small subunit ribosomal RNA", at positions 9 to 873 of the family's 1533-position model. The record is from RNAcentral.